AUUAGGAGGAACGCAAUGAUGCGAAGCAUCAUUUUUUAAAUGCGUUCCGACGAGCUGCCGCGACCAGAAGAGUCGCGGCGAUACCCCUG
This 89-nucleotide small RNA is filed under the name unclassified sequences. RNAcentral's name for it is "GA-cis RNA". It matches the Rfam family "GA-cis RNA". The record is from Rfam by way of RNAcentral.